AUUGAACGCUGGCGGCGUGCUUUACACAUGCAAGUCGAGCGGCAGCAUUUCCUCCGGGAAGAUGGCGAGCGGCGGACGGGUGAGUAAUACAUCGAGACAUGCCUAUUAGUGGGGGGUAACUCAUCGAAAGAUGAGCUAAUAUCGCAUAAUCCCUGAGGAGGAAAGCUGGGGGCUCGCGAGGGUCUGGCGCUGCGUGAGGGGGCGAUGGUCGAUUAGUUAGUUGGUGGGGUAAAGGCUUACCAAGGCGAUGAUCGAUAGCUGUUCUGAGAGGAAGAUCAGCCACACUGGAACUGAGACACGGUCCAGACUCCUACGGGAGGCAGCAGUGGGGAAUUUUGGACAAUGGGGGCAACCCUGAUCCAGCAACGCCGCGUGAAUGAAGAAGGCCUUAGGGUUGUAAAGUUCUUUUAUCUGGGAGCAAAGUGCGCAUGUUAAUAGUAUGCGUAUAUGAGAGUACCAGAAGAAUAAGCACCGGCUAACUACGUGCCAGCCGCCGCCGUAA
Molecule: ribosomal RNA, 502 nt
Filed under: uncultured bacterium
Lineage: Bacteria
Description: partial 16S ribosomal RNA
Rfam family: Bacterial small subunit ribosomal RNA
Source: RNAcentral